GAUGAACGCUGGCGGCGUGCUUAACACAUGCAAGUCGAACGGAAAGGCUCCUGCUUGCCGGGGCACUCGAGUGGCGAACGGGUGAGUAGCACGUGGGUGAUCUGCCCUGCACUUCGGGAUAAGCCUGGGAAACUGGGUCUAAUACCGGAUAGGACCAUCGUUUAGUGUCGGUGGUGGAAAGUUUUUUCGGUGUGGGAUGAGCUCGCGGCCUAUCAGCUUGUUGGUGGGGUAAUGGCCUACCAAGGCGUCGACGGGUAGCCGGCCUGAGAGGGUGUACGGCCACAUUGGGACUGAGAUACGGCCCAGACUCCUACGGGAGGCAGCAGUGGGGAAUAUUGCACAAUGGGCGCAAGCCUGAUGCAGCGACGCCGCGUGGGGGAUGACGGCCUUCGGGUUGUAAACUCCUUUCGCCAGGGACGAAGCGAAAGUGACGGUACCUGGAGAAGAAGCACCGGCUAACUACGUG
RNAcentral lists this ribosomal RNA (466 nucleotides) under uncultured bacterium. RNAcentral's name for it is "partial 16S ribosomal RNA". It matches the Rfam family "Bacterial small subunit ribosomal RNA", at positions 28 to 507 of the family's 1533-position model. The record is from RNAcentral.